ACUCAAAGGAAUAGACGGGGGCCCGCACAAGCGGUGGAGCAUGUGGUUUAAUUCGACGCAACGCGAAGAACCUUACCUGGGCUCGAACGGCUUCGGACCGGCUGUGGAAACAUGGCCUUCCCGCAAGGGACCGGAGUCGAGGUGCUGCAUGGCUGUCGUCAGCUCGUGUCGUGAGAUGUUGGGUUAAGUCCCGCAACGAGCGCAACCCUUGUCCUGUGUUGGCAUGCCGCAAGGCGCAACUCUCAGGAGACCGCCAGCGAUAAGCUGGAGGAAGGUGGGGAUGACGUCAAGUCAUCAUGGCCUUUAUGUCCAGGGCCACACACGUGCUACAAUGGGCGGUACAAAGCGCUGCCAACCCGCAAGGGGGAGCUAAUCGCCAAAAACCGUCCUCAGUUCGGAUUGCAGGCUGCAACUCGCCUGCAUGAAGCUGGAAUCGCUAGUAAUGCUAUAUCAGAACGAUAGCGUGAAUACGUUCCCGGGCCUUGCACACACCGCCCGU
RNAcentral lists this ribosomal RNA (499 nucleotides) under uncultured bacterium. Its description in RNAcentral is "partial 16S ribosomal RNA". It matches the Rfam family "Bacterial small subunit ribosomal RNA", at positions 899 to 1397 of the family's 1533-position model. The record is from RNAcentral.